Rhododendron vialii is the source of this 650-nucleotide long non-coding RNA. RefSeq lists it as uncharacterized. The record is from RefSeq and is a predicted model, not a curated record. Lineage: Eukaryota; Viridiplantae; Streptophyta; Magnoliopsida; Ericales; Ericaceae. The transcript is spliced from 3 exons.
GAUAUAUGACCAAAUAUUUCUAAUUUUCCCUUCUCAUCUGGGGAAAAAAGUUGCGUAAAAUCAUUCUCCCCAUUUCCCUUCUCAUCUGCGUACUCAGGGAUCUCAAGCUGUGCGAGCUGCUGUGGAUAGCGAAUGAAUCGAUUUUGGGUAUUCUAGGGUUUCACUCGUGAGCAGCAGUCGGAGAAGAAUCAAAGCCAUAUUCAGAAAUAUUGCACCGGUAGAAGUGAACAAUCCAUUUGGAAAGUUCUCACCAGGUUUGAAUUGAUUUUUGCGUUUCAUUUUGGCCCAAAUAUAAGGCUUGGGCUUUACUUUUUCACGGUAUCGGUCUUCAUUCGGAAAAGACAUUUGGGCCUUAUUCAUUCCAAACUACUCGCUAUUUGUCUCAAAAUUUGAUAUCCGGAAGUGGUAGUGUAUCUUGUUCUCUUGAAUGUGUUAGAUUGAACAUAUUGGUUGCACUUGUUAACAGAUUAAAACUUCAGAAAUUAGCCUAUACAAGUUUGGGGGUUGGUUCAGCGUCUCCAUAUGAAGAAAAAGUAGGACUAACCUUUCCUACCUACUAGGUCUCUCAUCCUCUUUAUAGGUAGGAGCCUUGUACAGAAUUGCAUUCUUUGUUCUGGCAUUCACCAAGUUGAGUCCUAAAGAAAAAGAAA